This 253-nucleotide ribosomal RNA is filed under the name uncultured bacterium. Its description in RNAcentral is "partial 16S ribosomal RNA". It matches the Rfam family "Bacterial small subunit ribosomal RNA", at positions 524 to 776 of the family's 1533-position model. The record is from RNAcentral.
UACAGAGGAGGCAAGCGUUAUUCGGAAUCACUGGGCUUAAAGCGCGUGUAGGCGGUUGGGCAAGCGUCCCGUGAAAUCCCACUGCUCAACGGUGGAACUGCGGGGCGAACUGCUCGACUUGAGGUUGGUAGAGGUAGCCGGAACUCUAGGUGGAGUGGUGAAAUGCGUAGAUAUCUAGAGGAACGCCAGAGGCGAAAGCGGGUCACUGGGCCAACUCUGACUAUGAGACGCGAAAGCGUGGGGAGCAAACAGG